Molecule: long non-coding RNA, 2527 nt
Organism: Canis lupus familiaris (dog)
Lineage: Eukaryota; Metazoa; Chordata; Mammalia; Carnivora; Canidae
Exons: 3
Source: RefSeq, a predicted model, not a curated record
CUCCUCAGGGCGGCGCACAGUCGCCGCCGCCGCCCCUGCCCGACGCGCGGGGCCUCGCACACGCUCCGCCGCGCGCACCGGAGCCAGAGCGAGGUCAGAGCCUGCGGCUCCUCCGCCUAAGCCCAACUGGGAUCCCGGCUGCAGCCACCGCUGCCGCCGCCAUCUUCCGCUCCACUAGCGUGUUCCGGGCCGCGCCGGUAGCACCGCCCCCUCCACGGGCCCGCCCACGGCCCCGCCCACGGCGUGUUCCAAGCCACGCCCCCUCGGGCUCGGUGCCUUUUGCUGUCUCCGAGGCUGAGCUUGCGCAGAGGGUGUGGACGCGAUGUCUCCUGGGAGUUGUAGUUGCUGUUUACUUCACUGCCUAGCAUCCCGGACCUAGGGGGACUCACAGAGACGCGGGACCUAAAAUUAAAUUAUUGUGAAUUACAGGAAUUGGAGCACGCCCAGAAGAGGGGGUGGAGCCUUGUGGAUCCUCUGCUUGGCAUUUAUGUCUAUGCCAGCUGUGCUAAAGGUUGUUCUUUCGGGCACACACCACUACCAAAUCCCAGCCAGGCUGUCAGGGCAUAUAUUAUCUAAUUUCCGUGUCACUCACAAGAACCGGUCGGAUGAGGUGAGCAGGAACAUAGGAUAUGACUCUGAAGCUGGUAACCUCUGCUGCUCUGAGGGGGCUAGCUGUUUUCAGGUAAAUGAUACCGGUGCCUUGAGUUUCCUGCAAAAUGACUUGCUCACCAGAGCACCAUGUGAACAGAAUCCUUUCUUAAAGCUCCUUAGCAGUUUUUGGAAAGGAGAGGCGAGAGCUCCUCAGGUUCCCUUGAAUCAUUUAUUCCAGAGACAGAUCUGAAAAGUUUCACCAGAGAGCACUUUAAAAAAAAAAACAAAAACAAAAACAAAAAAAAAAACAAAAAACAACCUUCCCCUGCCCUUCCCUAGAAGCACAAUUCACUUUUGACAUUUUGGUAGAUUUAAAAAGCCGUAAGAGUUUUCUUCCUUAACAGAAUUACAUUCCUAGCACUUCAAAGAUUCCUGGGAGGUCAGUUGUCACUCUCAAAGGCGAACAAGUGGUGAAAAUACCAUCUGUGCUCCCAGGGCAUCUCUGUGGCAUUAGGAAAGAGCUUUGCACUGGAGUCACCCCCAGCUCCUAAAAAAAGAAAAAAAAAAUCCCUAAUAAGAUUUUUCUGCCAGAGUGGUAUACUGAUCUCUCCUCAUUUCUUUUUGCUAACCUAUUCAAAAGGAGCACUAAUUAGUUUAUGGCAACGUUUCACAACCCUGGCACUAUUGACAUUUGAGGCCAGGUAAUUUUUUAUUUGAGGGGAUGUUCUGUGCAUUGGAGGGAGCUUAGCAGCAUCCCUGGCCUCUACCUACUAAGUAGGUGCCAGUAGCACACCUUACCCCUUAGGACAGCCAAAAAUGUCUCCAGAUAUUGCUAAAUGUCCCCUGGGGAACAAAAUUGCCCCCAGUUUAGAACCACUGGGUGAUAACAAUGACAUGCAAGUUAGCAAAUACUUGAUGAGCACUUGUUACAUCUAAGGCUGUGGGAUAAAGUUAAGAAAAUGUUGGUGCCUUCAUGGCAAUCACAGUAGAGCAGGACAGUUAAAGGUAAGUAAAUAUAUAGAAAAAAUAAGCUUUAUCGAUUGAAAUAAGAAAGGACCAUGGGGAGAAGAAAUGGGACCCAUUGGGAUGGGAGAACAGUCAGGGCACUUCACGAAGAGGUGACAUUUGUAGGAGAGAGAGGUCUGAGGAAGAGGGCAAUAGCCAUUCCGAGCAGAAGAAAUAGAAACUAAACAAAUGCAGAGUGGGAUUGGAGAAGAACAAGUAGUUCAGUGCAUUUAAGCCUUAGAGUUUGAAUGAGGAAUAAAGAGAAAUGGGGCUAAGGAAGUCGUUUAGGAACUAUUUAGCCAUAAAAAGGAGUGAAGUAAUGACACAUAUCUGGGUAUGGAUGACCCUCGGAAAUAUGACGCUAAAUUAAAGAAACCAGUCCCCAAAGACCACAUGUUGUAUGAUUCUAUAUGAAAUGUCUAGAAUAGGCAAACUCAUAGAGGCAGAAAGCAGAUUGAUGGUUGCCAGUGGCUGGGAUGUGUGGGAAUGGGAAGUGACUGUUAAUGGGUGUGCAGUUUCUUUUUGGGGUAAUGAAAAUGUUCUGGAAUUAGAUAGUGGUGAAUAUACAAAAAAAAUUGAAAUGUACACUUUAAAGGGUAAAUAUUAUGGUAUGUGGAUUACAUCUUAGUUUAUUUAUUUUUUUAAAGAUUUAAUUAUUCAUCACAAACACACACACACACACACACACACACACACACACAGGCAGAGGAGGAAGCAGGCUCCAUGCAGGGAGGUCUCUAGGAUCACACCCAGGCCGAAGGUGGCGCUAAACCACUGAGCCACCUGGGCUGCCUACAUCUCAGUGUAAAAAAUAGUUUAGAUUUCAGGUUGUACUACAAAGCUGUGGUCAUCAAGACAGUGUGGUACUGGCACAAAAACAGACACAUAGAUCAAUGGAACAGAAUAGAGAACCCAGAAGUGGCCCCUCAAC